CGCAGAGUGAUGGGUAGCAUUAUUGUUGAGUGUGACCGUUUGCCGAAAUUAAGAUUCAAAUAUUUCUGCAGAUUGGAGCUAUCGAUAGACUGUUUCCAAAAAUUGUCAAUUUAAUAAAAUGGUUAAAUCAAGAAAGCAGCAAUGGCAAAGGGACUUUAGUCACUUCGCCCAUCAAUAUCGCCGUGACCAGAAGAAAGUUAAGCAUCUAGUACAGCAGAUUCACUGGCUAAUUUGCAAGCACACGGACACAAAAUAUAAUAUUGCUUUGGAGAGCCAGCAGUAUGGGGAGAAGAUCAAGAAAAUCCAUGACGUGCGCCAAAAAGUAGAAAAUUUAUUGUCCUCACCGGAAGUAAAGCUGAGUGCCAAGCAUAAGGCAAAACUACGCAAAUUGAACUCAAUGCUGCCCAUCGCCGAUUCGUUAUUUGAUCGAAUCAGAUUAAUGGAGCUGCUGGGGGACCUGCCGACAUUUUCGGAAAACGUACAUCAGCGGAUGCGACAUUUGCAGAGUUUGCAUGGAAGCAGCUUGAAGCGGAUGGCCAGACACCAACAAGAACUGAAACGCAUCAAUGGGGAGACGUGCCAAGUUAUCAAUGACAUAAAAGAUUUGUGGACGAUCCUGGAAUAUUUAAGAAAGAGCCGAGGAAGAAAACGGAAAAUCGCGCAAUUGGCUGGAGCGCCUAGGGAACUUUGAUGUUUAGUCCACCAUUGUAGCGUGAAACAAGCAGGAGUGCCUCAAAUUGGACGCACGCCUUACAUAUGGAGAAACGGUUUGAGAAUUAUGCCAAGCAUUUAUAAUUAGGGGUUUAUAUGAAAUAAUUUAUUAUGCAAGAAUUAGUCUAGAAGGCGCGCUACUUAAAUGCUAGCAAAUGCUCUAUGGGCCUAGGCUAAUCCUCUCCAGCCAUAUGUACAAUCUGUAGUAAUCUUAAAACAUCUUAGCUCAUAUGGCCUGCCUCUUUGCUUUAACGUUCCAGCGUCCGUGCGCUCAACAGAAACCCGGAUUGGUGUGCUCGAUGAUGCAGCGUUUGCAGUACUUUUUGACCGCCCGAUAGCCCUCGAUAGAUAUCUGGCAGUCCUGUAUGUUCAGCUGCUGCAGGCCGCGGCAAUAGUAGGCAAUGCAUUGAACACCACGAUCCGUUAUCAUAUCACAAUUGCGUAGGCUGAGCUUCUUUAGGUUCGGGCAGCUCUCGGCAAGGGCGCGCAGACCCGCAUCGCUCACAUCGCACUUGCCUAUGUCGAGGGCACGCAGGCGGGGACAAGAGCGAGCCAGCACUGUAAUGGAGUCGUCGCUGACUGCCUCGCAGCCGCGCGCAUUUAAAUAGCGCAGCUUGUAGCAGCGCCGAGCAAUGACCUUCAGGCCCGCAUCCGAGACGCGCUCACAUUUGGCCACAGAGAGGUAGCGCAAGGCGGCGCCCAGCUUGGCCAGCUCGUACAGGCCGAAGUCCGUGAUAUUGACGCAAUCCGAGACGCUCAGUUCCUUCAGCGAAACACAAAAGCUUGGCACAAACUUCAGACCCGCAUCUGUCAUGGAAAUGGGAGUGAGCGUCGCAGAUAUAAAUACACCAGCUGAGGACAGUUCUUGACCACGAUCUUGAGGCCCAUGUCAUCGAUGGCCAUGCAAUCGGUUAGGUCCAGAUAUUGUAGGAGUAGCCGACGUGGUGGUUCCACAUGAGGAUUUGGACUGAUGCUGCUCACCUGACUGCAGCCUACGAGCGAAAAGAUGCUGUAGAUUGCUGCAUUUGGUGAGCGCUUCGACCAGCGCCUGAUUGGACACGCCGACACAGGUCUGCAGCUGCAGAUGCGUUAGCUCUGGACAGCGACGCGUCAGCAGCUGCAGACCCUUGUCUGAGAUGCGACAGCCAUCGGCAAGCAUGACGCGCUCAACCUCUGGGCAGGCGCCGUUGCAGCUCUGUCCGCACAGCUGGCGGAAGAUCAUCUUCAGCGUCUUGUCACCAUUGAGAUGCUCGCCGCGCAGCGUGAUGCACUUCCAGAGCACAGGACGCCAGGCGAGCUGCUCGAAGCGACGACAGACGCGCGCCACAUUGCACAGCUCGCAGCUAUCGAGCCAGCUGAAAAUGCGGACAACGGCAUCGUCGGGCAGGCGGUCAAAGAAGGGGCCACAGCGAUAGGGACCCUUCCGGUUCCAGGGCGGCGGUCCAAUAGCUGUGCCAUUAACCGUACCAUUGCUGCUGUUGGUCAGUCCACGGCGUGGAGUUGUGGUUGGCGUGCUGCUGGCAAUGACGCCGCCGCCAACAACGUUUGGGCUGCUAUUCUUUGAAUUGCUGUUAACCACAAUGCCCGCCGUGCUGCUCGGAUGGUGGCCAGUGGGCGAUGGCGACACCAGCGUGGCGUAGCCUUGGUCCAGGCUGGGCGAAAAGCGACCCAUAUUGCACAGUCCAUCGGAGAGGCUUUGCACUUUGGUGUGAUGGUGGUCCAGCUGAAAGGCAUUGGCGGGCGAAUUUGUGCUGCGAUUCAGCAGAUAGCGAUCCGAGCCGCUCGUUUCGCUGGGACUGGAGUUGCGCGGAUGAUGCAGACGUUCUAUAAUGAUAGAAACAACGUAUUGAAACUCUGUUAAAUCUUCGCGUGGAAUGGAAUGAAGAUGAUAAUAGCCGUAAACAAAAGGAAUAAAUAGCAUUUGUUAUCUCUCUCACCUGGUAAUCGCUCGUUGCCACUCCCGCUGCUGUAGUCCUCCAGGUAGUAGCGCUCGUUUUGGUACUGACUCGCCUCGGCACCCAGCGGCAGAGCUCGUAAUGCGUUGCCCAGAUACAGGGACUCCAUCUUCUUGUCCAGCAGAUAUUGGGCACUGCUGUUGCCAUUGCUCAGCACCGUGGGAACGCUGCAGCGUCCGCCUUGGGCUUGGCCACGCCUUCUGCUGCCGCCGCCACCACCCACAUUGUUGUCGCUGGAGUCUUCGGUAUCGGCGCUGUUGCCAUGCAGCCAGUCCAGCGUCAGAAAGUUGCGCGGCUGCGGCACUGGAGCUACGGAUCUGGUCGCUGGUGCGGGCAGCGUUUGCAGCUCCGGCGACUUCUUCAGCUGCGCAUGCCUGCCCACAGAGGCGGUGGAGUGGGUGCCAUAGCUGGACGAGGACUGCUCCUGUCGCGUGUGCCGGCCACGCAGCUCGAAUGUGGCCGCCUUUUGCUGCACCAUAUGCAGCACGGCUGCCGUCGUGGCCGUCGUCGCUGGCGUCUGCUGGUCGCUGUGCGGCGUGGAGCUGCGUGAGCCACGUGGAUAGAGGUCGGCAGUGGCUGCGGCAUCGUUGAUGUUGAGACCGAGGGUUGGCGACUUUCGUGACAUCUUAUAGGCUUGCGGAUCCAGCGGGCUGGAGCUCAAAGGAUGCGGAUGGUGGUAAUGCGCCGCCGCCAAUUGAUCUCGCACCGCAUUGCUGGUCCGUCCAAGCGACGCCAGUGGACACUCCAGAUCUGAGGCACGUCGCGUGCCCGUCUUGUGUGACAUUUUAUUUUAUUAUUAUGAUAUUAAUUUUGUUUUAUACUGUGAACUUCGCUUUGGAGCUGAAAGUCUGCAAGGAUAAAGAAAUAUCAAGUUAAUUAUUUUAUUUAGGGAAUUUUUAAGUAAAAAUGUGUAUGUGGAAGAAUUGUGCACUGUUAUAGAAAAGUUAUAUUAGGAUCCAUAGAAAAAAAAGAAAAUUUACUUGCAAAGCAUAAGGCUGAUAAAAAUUAAUGUCAACAAAAUAAAAUACUUUUAAAUAUGUUUAAAACAUGUAAAUAUGUUGAAGAUAUUAUAUAUCAGUUAUUUGUUUUUACUGAAUUUAAAAGAUAAAUAACUCAAAUGUUUUAAACGUGUAUAAAAUUAUUUAUACACAAUAUUAAGCCUAAUCUAUUUGGAAAGUUGCAAGGCAUUCGGAAAUGAAGUUGCCUGGUGAUUUUUGCUCAUUUUACAAACAGUUUAUCAAUAGCUGAGUUAUUAGUUUAUUUAUUUUCCCAAUCAAUAAAAAUACAUGAAAUACCUAAAAUUAA
This is a long non-coding RNA of Drosophila mojavensis, 3971 nucleotides long. RefSeq lists it as uncharacterized. Lineage: Eukaryota; Metazoa; Arthropoda; Insecta; Diptera; Drosophilidae. The transcript has 6 exons. The record is from RefSeq and is a predicted model, not a curated record.